UGGUUCGAGAGGGCCCGGGCCUUUAAGCUUUGUGGUGGUAAGGCCUUCCAAGGGGGGGGGGGUAGCGGCCUGGAAGGGGUUUGGCCCAACUGGGAAUGGGACACGGCCCAGAUUCUUAGGGAGGCAGCAGGGGGAAAUUUGCCCAAUGGGGCCAAGCUUGAUGCAGGGACGCCGCUGGAGGAAGACGGCCUUCGGGUUGUAAACUUCUUUCACCAGGGAGGAGCGCAAGUGACGGUACCUGGAGAAGAAGCACCGGCCAACUACGUGCCAGCAGCCGCGGUAAUACGUAGGGUGCGAGCGUUGUCCGGAAUUACUGGGCGUAAAGAGCUCGUAGGCGGUUUGUCGCGUCGUCUGUGAAAUUCUGCAACUCAAUUGUAGGCGUGCAGGCGAUACGGGCAGACUUGAGUACUACAGGGGAGACUGGAAUUCCUGGUGUAGCGGUGAAAUGCGCAGAUAUCAGGAGGAACACCGGUGGCGAAGGCGGGUCUCUGGGUAGUAACUGACGCUGAGGAGCGAAAGCGUGGGUAGCGAACAGGAUUAGAUACCCUGGUAGUCCACGCCGUAAACGGUGGGUACUAGGUGUGGGGCUCAUUUCACGAGUUCCGUGCCGUAGCUAACGCAUUAAGUACCCCGCCUGGGGAGUACGGCCGCAAGGCUAAAACUCAAAGGAAUUGACGGGGGCCCGCACAAGCGGCGGAGCAUGUGGAUUAAUUCGAUGCAACGCGAAGAACCUUACCUGGGUUUGACAUACACCAGACGCAUGUAGAGAUACAUGUUCCCUUGUGGUUGGUGUACAGGUGGUGCAUGGCUGUCGUCAGCUCGUGUCGUGAGAUGUUGGGUUAAGUCCCGCAACGAGCGCAACCCUUGUCCUGUAUUGCCAGCGGGUUAUGCCGGGGACUUGCAGGAGACUGCCGGGGUCAACUCGGAGGAAGGUGGGGAUGACGUCAAGUCAUCAUGCCCCUUAUGUCCAGGGCUUCACACAUGCUACAAUGGCUGGUACAGAGGGCUGCGAUACCGUGAGGUGGAGCGAAUCCCUUAAAGCCAGUCUCAGUUCGGAUUGGGGUCUGCAACUCGACCCCAUGAAGUCGGAGUCGCUAGUAAUCGCAGAUCAGCAACGCUGCGGUGAAUACGUUCCCGGGCCUUGUACACACCGCCCGUCACGUCAUGAAAGUCGGUAACACCCGAAGCCGGUGGCCUAACCCC
RNAcentral lists this ribosomal RNA (1203 nucleotides) under Gordonia alkanivorans. RNAcentral describes it as "bacterial SSU rRNA". It matches the Rfam family "Bacterial small subunit ribosomal RNA", at positions 218 to 1442 of the family's 1533-position model. The record is from RNAcentral. Lineage: Bacteria; Bacillati; Actinomycetota; Actinomycetes; Mycobacteriales; Gordoniaceae.